AACGAACGCUGGCGGCAUGCCUAACACAUGCAAGUCGAACGAGAUCUUCGGGUCUAGUGGCGCACGGGUGCGUAACGCGUGGGAAUCUGCCCUUGGGUUCGGAAUAACUCGCCGAAAGGCGUGCUAAUACCGGAUGAUGUCGUAAGACCAAAGAUUUAUCGCCCAAGGAUGAGCCCGCGUAAGAUUAGGUAGUUGGUGAGGUAAAGGCUCACCAAGCCGACGAUCUUUAGCUGGUCUGAGAGGAUGAUCAGCCACACUGGGACUGAGACACGGCCCAGACUCCUACGGGAGGCAGCAGUGGGGAAUAUUGGACAAUGGGCGAAAGCCUGAUCCAGCAAUGCCGCGUGAGUGAUGAAGGCCUUAGGGUUGUAAAGCUCUUUUACCCGGGAUGAUAAUGACAGUACCGGGAGAAUAAGCCCCGGCUAACUCCGUGCCAGCCGCCGCAGUAA
This 449-nucleotide ribosomal RNA is filed under the name uncultured bacterium. Its description in RNAcentral is "partial 16S ribosomal RNA". It matches the Rfam family "Bacterial small subunit ribosomal RNA", at positions 29 to 523 of the family's 1533-position model. The record is from RNAcentral.